UCUAAUAUGGCAGAUUAGUGCGGCGGAUUUAAGAUCCCCAUAUAAAGUAAAACUUUUUUUAGAA
Molecule: transfer RNA, 64 nt
Filed under: Dermestidae sp. GENSP01
Lineage: Eukaryota; Metazoa; Arthropoda; Insecta; Coleoptera; Dermestidae
Description: tRNA-Leu
Source: RNAcentral